NNNGACCUCAGAUCGGACGAGACCACCCGCUGAAUUUAAGCAUAUCACUAAGCGGAGGAAAAGAAACUAACCAGGAUUCCCUCAGUAGCGGCGAGUGAAGCGGGAAGAGCCCAUCGCCGAAUCCCAGCGCCUUCGGUCCUGGGACCUGUGGCGUGAGGCGGCUUCGGGCGCGCGAGUCCACGACGCCGAGGUCCUCCUGAUCGGGGCACCUUACCCAGAGCGGGUGUCACCCGUUCGGGCGUCGGGUCUCAAGGGCCUGGAGCCACCAAGAGUCGGGUAGUUUUGGAAUGCUGCCCAAAGAAGGGUGGUGAACUCCAUCCAAGGCUAAAUACUGGCACGAGACCGAUAGCAGACAAGUACCGUGAGGGAAAGU
This 373-nucleotide ribosomal RNA is filed under the name Psammechinus miliaris (sand urchin). RNAcentral's name for it is "eukaryotic LSU rRNA". It matches the Rfam family "Eukaryotic large subunit ribosomal RNA", at positions 1 to 364 of the family's 3401-position model. The record is from RNAcentral. Lineage: Eukaryota; Metazoa; Echinodermata; Echinoidea; Camarodonta; Parechinidae.